AACAAUUCAGUUUUCAGUUGUAUUGGUCGUUUUGAUGUUGGUAUCUUUGGAAUUGUUCUUACCGCCUGUGGAAGCUGGUUGGUGGGGCGGAGGAAAAAAAUACAAGGUGGUAUUAAAAGAUGAAAACGGUAAAUACAAAAUCGUAGAGACAAGCAGCAAAAAGCGAGAGGAAAAGCGAUACACAAUGCUAAGAAAUGGUGGAUAGAAUUUCUACAUCAACAUACAAUUGCAGGAAAACCAAGCAAGAAUGGAGAGAUAUUAAUAAAUCUUUUUGCUCUCAUAA
Saccostrea echinata is the source of this 283-nucleotide long non-coding RNA. RefSeq lists it as uncharacterized. Lineage: Eukaryota; Metazoa; Mollusca; Bivalvia; Ostreida; Ostreidae. The transcript has 2 exons. The record is from RefSeq and is a predicted model, not a curated record.